Myzus persicae (green peach aphid) is the source of this 839-nucleotide long non-coding RNA. RefSeq lists it as uncharacterized. NCBI's taxonomy places the organism in Eukaryota, Metazoa, Arthropoda, Insecta, Hemiptera, Aphididae. The record is from RefSeq and is a predicted model, not a curated record. The transcript is spliced from 2 exons.
AUGCAAAAAAAAGAAAAGAAAAUAAUAGGUAAAUAUAGUAUACUUUAUUAAUUAAUACUUUUGUAUUUUAUACAGUGUACUCUCGAUUAUCCACCGUCUUCCGCAAAAUCAUCUGCAUACCUGUCAUACCUAUAUGGCUAUAUGUAUAUACAAAUAUAUAUUUACAUUAUAAAUCAUUAUAGGUUUUUAAUUGGAUGAUAAUUCGUGAUAGCCGAUUACUCGAUAACCACGUAACAUACAAUACGCUUGCUUAAUAUCAAUACAUAUGUUUGUACAUAUUGUGUUAUGUACCUUUAAUGUUAGACCCUCGAAUGUUUAGCGGAUAAUCAAGAGUACACUGUAUUGGCUAUUUUGGUUUCGAUCCCCCAAAAUAUAUGCUCAUCGAUGUACAUUUUUUGAACGAUUUAAUUCCAAUGGUAGAAUGCAGUUAUACAAUUUAAAAUAAUUAUCGUUAUUAAUAUAUUAUUUUGCCUACAUAAGAAAUGUACAGUAAUACUUGGCGGCGGCUGGAGCCCAGAAUUUAUAAAGAUUCAAGUUGUCACAGCAUGGACCGACGACUGUACGACAGAUACUCGGGACGAAUGGUAUGAGCUAAGGUCCUUGCACGACUGAACGAUUUAUUUUUUUGCAUUACAGUAUAGGUACUUAAGUAAAAAUUUUAUUUAAGAUUUAACUGGUUAACAUCAAUGUAUAAGGACGAAUAUAUUUCCGGUUCUGAUAAUACGUUAAGCAAUAACACCUAAGUCUUUGUUCAUCUCAUUAAAAAAAAAACAUAAGUGUCAUAAGUGUAAGUAAUUAGGUAGCUUAUUAUAAUAGACAUGUGCAAUGUGUCUACCUAA